GUGAGGUUCCUCAUUUGUUGGCAGAUCUGGAAUUUCACAUGUCAGUCACACAGGAGCACUAGGAGGAAUUUGAGAAGCAAAUGUGAGACUAUUCUAACCGAAGAAGAAUGCUUUUCUAAAAUACUGGCUCCACAUUAAAAGCACACAUGGGAAAGACUAUUUGAUGUAAAACUCCUCCUUUCAAAAUCAAUACAACUGAAAGUUUCCCUCUGUGAAGGAGGUUGAUGUAGUUGAAGUACCAGCUUGGUAGCAGAAAUUGCAGCACAGAUGACAUAACAACUCCUCACCUUUCACAAUUCACAUCCCAGAAAAAGAUGUGAGUGCAACACAAACCAGUGACCAUCAGUACUGGUCUGGGUAACAUGAAACCCUCUUAAGCUCUCUGCCUUGAGUUGCCACAGGGACAUUAUGAGCCUGAAUGUGUGGGAAGGCAGCAGAAGGAAAUGAAGUAUACGCAGGAUACUCUAUUUUGUUCUUUCUCUACUUUGUGAACUUCUAUAUGGAAAAAAUACUGGUUUAACAGCUUCUAUUGAAGCCCUUCCAGGUGAAAAUGAAUUUCUCUCCUAAAAAGUGCUUCCAUAAAUGACAGACUAAGUUUCUGCAAAAAAGUACCUUCAUCUUAGAAGUGAAAUACAGUA
Molecule: non-coding RNA, 638 nt
Organism: Cyanistes caeruleus (blue tit)
Lineage: Eukaryota; Metazoa; Chordata; Aves; Passeriformes; Paridae
Source: RefSeq, a predicted model, not a curated record